UGAUUUCAUGGAUCCAAUUGAUAGCAUCAAAUCUUGAGCCUCUUCCAUUCAGAACAUUGACUAGGAGCUUGCAGUCGCCUUCAAGUAUUACUUUUCUAAAGCCUCUUAUCCAUAAUU
This 117-nucleotide small RNA is filed under the name Arabidopsis thaliana (thale cress). RNAcentral's name for it is "ATSL289030". The record is from RNAcentral. Lineage: Eukaryota; Viridiplantae; Streptophyta; Magnoliopsida; Brassicales; Brassicaceae.